This 779-nucleotide ribosomal RNA is filed under the name Flagellimonas marinaquae. Its description in RNAcentral is "bacterial SSU rRNA". It matches the Rfam family "Bacterial small subunit ribosomal RNA", at positions 396 to 1178 of the family's 1533-position model. The record is from RNAcentral. Lineage: Bacteria; Pseudomonadati; Bacteroidota; Flavobacteriia; Flavobacteriales; Flavobacteriaceae.
GCCGCGUGCAGGAUGACGGCCCUAUGGGUUGUAAACUGCUUUUAUACGGGAAGAAACGCGCCCACGUGUGGGUGUCUGACGGUACCGUAAGAAUAAGGACCGGCUAACUCCGUGCCAGCAGCCGCGGUAAUACGGAGGGUCCGAGCGUUAUCCGGAAUCAUUGGGUUUAAAGGGUCCGUAGGCGGGCCUGUAAGUCAGGGGUGAAAGUUUGUGGCUCAACCAUAAAAUUGCCUUUGAUACUGCAGGUCUUGAGUCAUGGUGGGGUCGCCGGAACAUGUGGUGUAGCGGUGAAAUGCAUAGAUAUCACAUAGAACACCGAUCGCGAAGGCAGGUGGCCAACCAUGUACUGACGCUGAUGGACGAAAGCGUGGGUAGCGAACGGGAUUAGAUACCCCGGUAGUCCACGCCGUAAACGAUGGAUACUAGCUGUGGGGACUUCGGUCUCCGUGGCCAAGCGAAAGUGAUAAGUAUCCCACCUGGGGAGUACGUUCGCAAGAAUGAAACUCAAAGGAAUUGACGGGGGCCCGCACAAGCGGUGGAGCAUGUGGUUUAAUUCGAUGAUACGCGAGGAACCUUACCAGGGCUUAAAUGCAGGCUGCAUAAGCUAGAGAUAGCUUUUUCUUCGGACUGCCUGCAAGGUGCUGCAUGGUUGUCGUCAGCUCGUGCCGUGAGGUGUCAGGUUAAGUCCUAUAACGAGCGCAACCCCUACCGUUAGUUGCCAGCAUGUCAAGAUGGGGACUCUAACGGGACUGCCGGUGCAAACCGUGAGGAAGGUGGGG